ACGGAGGGAGCUAGCGUUGUUCGGAAUUACUGGGCGUAAAGCGUGCGUAGGCGGUUACUCAAGUCAGAGGUGAAAGCCCGGGGCUCAACCCCGGAACUGCCUUUGAAACUAGGUAGCUAGAAUCUUGGAGAGGUUAGUGGAAUUCCGAGUGUAGAGGUGAAAUUCGUAGAUAUUCGGAAGAACACCAGUGGCGAAGGCGACUAACUGGACAAGCAUUGACGCUGAGGCACGAAAGCGUGGGGAGCAAACAGGAUUAGAUACCCUGGUAGUCCACGCCGUAAACGAUGAUAACUAGCUGUCCGGGCACUUGGUGCUUGGGUGGCGCAGCUAACGCAUUAAGUUAUCCGCCUGGGGAGUACGGUCGCAAGAUUA
RNAcentral lists this ribosomal RNA (372 nucleotides) under uncultured bacterium. RNAcentral describes it as "bacterial SSU rRNA". It matches the Rfam family "Bacterial small subunit ribosomal RNA", at positions 525 to 896 of the family's 1533-position model. The record is from RNAcentral.